UGGAAGACUUGCCUUAAAUCCCAAACCCCAAGUCCCAUAAAUACCUUGCCUAUUCUUUAAACUCCAAAUCACUGCUACUAAUCCUUCAUCUCCCCACUAAGGUAGUGUUCUCUAUACUGCAGUAAGCAAUUAGCCUAGGUCUUUCUUAUCAAUGGAUUAUUUUUGUGUUAUUUUGAGGGGUUGAACAUUCAGUAAUAUUUGGCAGUGGUAGGGCAUGUACCCUGGCUGGCUGUGUCUCUGGGGCAGGUUCCUGGAAGACCUGCUGGGUCUGGCAAUCUUCAGACAGUGGGGCAGUUAUGAGAAGCUCCCAAGAGGGAGGAGAGUUGGAGUAGCUGGGUUCGGUGGGUGGGGUAGAGUGCUGGGGUGGGGGUGCUCUGUUCACUGCCUGGUGUAGAAGAGUUCCACAAUUUUAACAAUUGGUAGAAACAUUCUAUUUCUGUACUGGUGGGUGCCACCUAAUAUCAGGCCUUGAUGAAAUGAUCAGGAAAACCAGAUGCAAGGAAAAGAUGACCAAUGGAUGCCGGUGUGGCUAGAUCCUGAAGCCUUUCCAACUUUUCCAAGCCUCCAUGGAACUUAAAUAUAGCCCUAGGCCUAUGUGGAGAGGUCAGGAAGGGAGAGAGGCUGCUUUGGUUUCCCUUUGCUGUGAUGGACCUCAGCUGCCUGGCCUUGUAUCCCAGUUUUGUUUCUUCCACGCUGGCUGUAAGCCAGGUAUUGCCCAACUGCGAAGUGAGGAAACCUCUAUCAAGGUGUAA
This 752-nucleotide long non-coding RNA is filed under the name Chinchilla lanigera (long-tailed chinchilla). Its description in RNAcentral is "lncRNA (ENSCLAG00000026036.1)". Lineage: Eukaryota; Metazoa; Chordata; Mammalia; Rodentia; Chinchillidae. The record is from RNAcentral.